UGCCUAAACCCACGGCUUUGCUGUGUGGCAUGGCGCAAAACCUUCGCAGUAGAAAGCUCCUAGUCAGAGCUCCUGCGAAGGUCGUAUGCCGAAAGGUAUACGGGUGGCGCGAGUCAUC
RNAcentral lists this small RNA (118 nucleotides) under unclassified sequences. Its description in RNAcentral is "LOOT RNA". It matches the Rfam family "LOOT RNA". From Rfam's summary of the family: Latescibacteria, OD1/Parcubacteria, OP11, TM7. Lineage (Microgenomates, aka OP11) The record is from Rfam by way of RNAcentral.